This 245-nucleotide ribosomal RNA is filed under the name uncultured bacterium. Its description in RNAcentral is "partial 16S ribosomal RNA". It matches the Rfam family "Bacterial small subunit ribosomal RNA", at positions 524 to 768 of the family's 1533-position model. The record is from RNAcentral.
UACGUAGGGAGCAAGCGUUGUCCGGAGUUACUGGGCGUAAAGCGCACGUAGGCGGUCUCUCGCGUUGGUGCUGACAGCCGUCGGCUUCACUGACGGAGGCGUAUCAAAACGGAGAGACUGGAGGCUUAGAGAGGCAGACGGAAUUCCGGGUGGAGCGGUGAAAUGCGUAGAGAUCCGGAAGAACACCAAAGGCGAAGGCAGUCUGCUGGCUAAGCACUGACGCUCAGGUGCGAAAGCUAGGGGAG